Molecule: ribosomal RNA, 1551 nt
Filed under: Bacillus cereus
Lineage: Bacteria; Bacillati; Bacillota; Bacilli; Caryophanales; Bacillaceae
Description: 16S ribosomal RNA
Rfam family: Bacterial small subunit ribosomal RNA
Source: RNAcentral
UUAUUGGAGAGUUUGAUCCUGGCUCAGGAUGAACGCUGGCGGCGUGCCUAAUACAUGCAAGUCGAGCGAAUGGAUUAAGAGCUUGCUCUUAUGAAGUUAGCGGCGGACGGGUGAGUAACACGUGGGUAACCUGCCCAUAAGACUGGGAUAACUCCGGGAAACCGGGGCUAAUACCGGAUAACAUUUUGAACUGCAUGGUUCGAAAUUGAAAGGCGGCUUCGGCUGUCACUUAUGGAUGGACCCGCGUCGCAUUAGCUAGUUGGUGAGGUAACGGCUCACCAAGGCAACGAUGCGUAGCCGACCUGAGAGGGUGAUCGGCCACACUGGGACUGAGACACGGCCCAGACUCCUACGGGAGGCAGCAGUAGGGAAUCUUCCGCAAUGGACGAAAGUCUGACGGAGCAACGCCGCGUGAGUGAUGAAGGCUUUCGGGUCGUAAAACUCUGUUGUUAGGAAGAACAAGUGCUAGUUGAAUAAGCUGGCACCUUGACGGUACCUAACCAGAAAGCCACGGCUAACUACGUGCCAGCAGCCGCGGUAAUACGUAGGUGGCAAGCGUUAUCCGGAAUUAUAUUGGGCGUAAAGCGCGCGCAGGUGGUUUCUUAAGUCUGAUGUGAAAGCCCACGGCUCAACCGUGGAGGGUCAUUGGAAACUGGAGACUUGAGUGCAGAAGAGGAAAGUGGAAUUCCAUGUGUAGCGGUGAAAUGCGUAGAGAUAUGGAGGAACACCAGUGGCGAAGGCGACUUUCUGGUCUGUAACUGACACUGAGGCGCGAAAGCGUGGGGAGCAAACAGGAUUAGAUACCUGGUAGUCCACGCCGUAAACGAUGAGUGCUAAGUGUUAGAGGGUUUCCGCCCUUUAGUGCUGAAGUUAACGCAUUAAGCACUCCGCCUGGGGAGUACGGCCGCAGGCUGAAACUCAAAGGAAUUGACGGGGGCCCGCACAAGCGGUGGAGCAUGUGGUUUUAAUUCGAAGCAACGCGAAGAACCUUACCAGGUCUUGACAUCCUCUGAAAACCCUAGAGAUAGGGCUUCUCUUCGGGAGCAGAGUGACAGUGUGGUGCAUGGUUGUCGUCAGCUCGUGUCGUGAGAUGUUGGGUUAAGUCCCGCAACGAGCGCAACCCUUGAUCUUAGUUGCCAUCAUUAAGUUGGGCACUCUAAGGUGACUGCCGGUGACAAACCGGAGGAAGGUGGGGAUGACGUCAAAUCAUCAUGCCCCUUAUGACCUGGGCUACACACGUGCUACAAUGGACGGUACAAAGAGCUGCAAGACCGCGAGGUGGAGCUAAUCUCAUAAAACCGUUCUCAGUUCGGAUUGUAGGCUGCAACUCGCCUACAUGAAGCUGGAAUCGCUAGUAAUCGCGGAUCAGCAUGCCGCGGUGAAUACGUUCCCGGGCCUUGUACACACCGCCCGUCACACCACGAGAGUUUGUAACACCCGAAGUCGGUGGGGUAACCUUUUUGGAGCCAGCCGCCUAAGGUGGGACAGAUGAUUGGGGUGAAGUCGUAACAAGGUAGCCGUAUCGGAAGGUGCGGCUGGAUCACCUCCUUU